RNAcentral lists this ribosomal RNA (254 nucleotides) under uncultured bacterium. Its description in RNAcentral is "partial 16S ribosomal RNA". It matches the Rfam family "Bacterial small subunit ribosomal RNA", at positions 524 to 776 of the family's 1533-position model. The record is from RNAcentral.
UACGAAGGGGGCUAGCGUUAUUCGGAAUCACUGGGCGUAAAGCGCACGCAGGCGGAUCGUUAAGUCGGGGGUGAAAUCCCGAGGCUCAACCUCGGAACUGCCUUCGAUACUGGCGAUCUUUGAGUCCGGGAGAGAUGAGUGGAACUCCGAGUGUAGAGGUGAAAUUCGUAGAUAUUCGGAAGAACACCAGUGGCGAAGGCGGCUCACUGGCCCGGUACUGACGCUGAGGUGCGAAAGCGUGGGGAGCAAACAGG